This 433-nucleotide ribosomal RNA is filed under the name uncultured bacterium. RNAcentral's name for it is "partial 16S ribosomal RNA". It matches the Rfam family "Bacterial small subunit ribosomal RNA", at positions 29 to 507 of the family's 1533-position model. The record is from RNAcentral.
AACGAACGCUGGCGGCAUGCCUAACACAUGCAGGUCGAACGAGACCUUCGGGUCUAGUGGCGCACGGGUGCGUAACGCGGGGGGUACUGCCUUUGGGUCUGGAAUAACUCGCCGAAAGGCGUGCUAAUAACGGAUGAUGAUGUAAGUCCAAAGAUUUAUCGCCCAAGGAUGAGCCCGCGUUGGAUUAGCUACUUUGUGAGGUAAAGGCUCACCAUGGCGACGAUCGAUAGCUGGUCUGAGAGGAUGAUCAGCCACACUGGGAGUGAGACACGGCACAGACUCCUACGGGAGGCAGCAGUAGGGAAUAUUGGACAAUGAGCGAAAGCCUGAUCCAGCAAUGCCGCGUGAGUGAUGAAGGCCUUAGGGUUGUAAAGCUCUUUUACCCGGGAUGAUAAUGACCGUACCGGGAGAAUAAGCGCCGGCUAACUCCGUG